AAUACGAUCUAGAUCGGCCUUAAAAUUUUGAACCACAUCUCUCGAGACCAAUACAAAGAGGUCCAAGCCAUGAUCAAGCCAAGAGUUAAAGGAUGCCUUCGGUCAACCUUUUUUAGGCUCCUAAGCCCUCAAUGCCACGUGUGGAUAAUAGCUUGGAGCUUGAAGUAUGUUUUGAAGAGAAUAUGUGGGUUAUUUUCAAAAUAACUACUUUUGAGCUAUUUUUGGAAUAGGCUAUUUAGGCAAAGACAAAUACUAUAAAUAAAUGUCUUAGUCAUUUCGUUUAACAACUUUUGAUGAUAUUGGAGCGAAUGCUCUUAUGAGUGAUUUGCAAGUUUGGAUUAGCUUGUGUUGAAACUUGUUUAAAAACGUAGGUUGCUUGGAAACUCGAUUCUCUUGAGAUCUACGUAAGAAAUUGGUGUUCGAUCCUAUAAGAUUUAGGAGUCUUCGAGUUUGAUACAUUCAUUGGUUCUCUUAUUUUCGUAUGUCAAUUUACCUAUUUUUAUUUCUUGUAUUGUUGUGAUUUUAGCUUCCUUAGGUAGACUUCUAUUUUUCGUAGCUAGAUUCGUAUCAUUUGGUAUCAAAAGCCGAGUUUAGAAUCGUUUCCACCAUUCUAGUCUUGGGUUUUGCUAUCUGAAAAAAAAAAGAGUCAAAAACUGAAAACCACAAUUUUUUUUCCAUUUUUACUCCUAGGCCGACAGUUUAGGUCUCGAAAUUUUUGUUUGUUUCUAGUGUUAGUUCCUUGUUCCCUAAUACUAAUAGAGUCUAGAUCUUGAAUUUGAGCUUAUUCCGGGUUAAUUUGAGCCAUCCACCAUUGUUGAGCUUGAAGUUAAAGAAACUUGAAGGUGGAUCUCGAAUUUUGGAAGGGUUUUGUUGAGAUUUUUGGCUUGAAUGUGUGUUGGUUGUGUUUGGGAG
This 912-nucleotide long non-coding RNA is filed under the name Capsicum annuum. RNAcentral's name for it is "long non-coding RNA (CANN_LNC018970)". Lineage: Eukaryota; Viridiplantae; Streptophyta; Magnoliopsida; Solanales; Solanaceae. The record is from RNAcentral.